GAUGAACGCUGGCGGCGUGCCUAAUACAUGCAAGUCGAGCGAACGGACGAGACUCUUGCUUCUCUGAUGUUAGCGGCGGACGGGUGAGUACCACGUGGAUAACCUACCUAUAAGACUGGGAUAACUUCGGGAAACCGGAUCUAACACCGGAUAAUAUUUUGAACCGCAUGGUUCAAAAGUGAAAGCCGGUCUUGCUGUCACUUAUAGAUGGAUCCGCGCUGCAUUAGCUAGUUGGUAAGGUAACGGCUUACCAAGGCAACGAUGCAUAGCCGACCUGAGAGGGUGAUCAGCCACACUGGAACUGAGACACGGUCCAGACUCCUACGGGAGGCAGCAGUGGGGAAUAUUCCGCAAUGGGCGAAAGCCUGACGGAGCAACGCCGCGUGAGUGAUGAAGGUCUUCGGAUCGUAAAACUCUGUUAUUAGGGAAGAACAUAUGUGUAAGUAACUGUGCACAUCUUGACGGUACCUAAUCAGAAAGCCACGGCUAACUACGUG
This 497-nucleotide ribosomal RNA is filed under the name uncultured bacterium. RNAcentral's name for it is "partial 16S ribosomal RNA". It matches the Rfam family "Bacterial small subunit ribosomal RNA", at positions 28 to 507 of the family's 1533-position model. The record is from RNAcentral.